AUCUAGCCCUGAUUGAGCGGUCUGUUUGAGCUCUUUUUUGCCUUUUUUAGCAAAAAAAGCGAGUAGCGAAAGCAGGAAAUAGC
This 83-nucleotide unclassified non-coding RNA is filed under the name Polaribacter sp. KT25b. RNAcentral describes it as "Flavo-1 RNA". The record is from RNAcentral. Lineage: Bacteria; Pseudomonadati; Bacteroidota; Flavobacteriia; Flavobacteriales; Flavobacteriaceae.